Molecule: transfer RNA, 72 nt
Filed under: Limosilactobacillus reuteri
Lineage: Bacteria; Bacillati; Bacillota; Bacilli; Lactobacillales; Lactobacillaceae
Description: tRNA-Gln
Rfam family: tRNA
About the family: Transfer RNA (tRNA) molecules are approximately 80 nucleotides in length.
Source: RNAcentral
UGCCUUAUCGUCUAAUUGGUAGGACACGACUCUUUGGAAGUCGCAAUGUUGGUUCGAGACCAGCUAAGGCAA